GAGGAAGAUCGACCAGAGCUCUCUCUCUCUUCUCUAGGCAUGUGCUCUGAGAAAAGGUCAUCUGAGGACAAAGUACCCGUCUGCAAGCCAGGAAGAGAGCCCUUGCCAGAAACUAAACCCCGCUGGAAACUUGAUUUUGCGCUUUCCAGCCUCUAGAACUGUGGACACCGAAAUUCUUUGCCUGAAAACCUUUUAAAAAUAUGAAAACAAGACAAAAAAUGGCUGGGUUUUCUUUUAGAGUGGCAAUGUCAUUUGUCCAGAAGGGGGAGCUCUCAGUCCGCAUGCAGCGGAGCAAGGCAGACAGUCUGGUAUCUUAUCUGCUGCUUGGGAAAUUGUCUGACAGGAAAAUAUCAACACAAACCAUGCGAUUUGCCGCUGGAGCACGCUGGACCUCAUCUGCUUAAAAAGAUGCACGGAUAUAGUCAUCACAGUUCAUAAUUUAAUAAACUGCUAAAAAAACCACACAUUUUCAUUUUAGCGACUUUGGUCUCACAACUAAAUUCACAUUGCUACAAAGACAUUUGAAUUUUGCACUAAUAUGUCAUGAGCACUGCACCCAUUGCAAAUUAAUGAGUCUCUGAAUAGCACUGUGCAUUUGUCAUUUGAAUUUAUGCUAAUGCAGUGAGGUCUCCUGGUGAUGCUGAUAGUCCAUAGCAGCUGCUUGAACCACAAAAUAUAUCGGCACUUCCCUUCUACUUUAUAUUGCUACCUCCUUUUUUGGCUUUUCUGGCCUGUCACUUAGGCAGAAAUUCUGUAACUGGUUAUUGAUAGGGCUGCUAAUUAUCUGUGACUUUACACUAUUGGCCUAACCCCCAACACUGAGAAGAAGUAAUGGAUCAGUGUUGAGAGAAUUAUGUACAUCACAUAGAGACAGUCUCAGACCAGGAGGUCAGGAGGAGUUCACUGAGAACCAAUGGUAUUUAUAAAGGAUGUUAUAUGUAAAUUGGCAAUAUUUUUUCAGUGAUAUCAUGUCAUUUAUAUCAAUAAAUCAAUCUAAGAAA
RNAcentral lists this long non-coding RNA (1001 nucleotides) under Homo sapiens (human). RNAcentral describes it as "HSALNT0328056". The record is from RNAcentral. Lineage: Eukaryota; Metazoa; Chordata; Mammalia; Primates; Hominidae.